GAUGAACGCUAGCUACAGGCUUAACACAUGCAAGUCGAGGGGCAGCAUGAACUUAGCUUGCUAAGUUUGAUGGCGACCGGCGCACGGGUGAGUAACACGUAUCCAACCUGCCGAUGACUCGGGGAUAGCCUUUCGAAAGAAAGAUUAAUACCCGAUGGCAUAGUUCUUCCGCAUGGUGGAACUACUAAAGAAUUUCGGUCAUCGAUGGGGAUGCGUUCCAUUAGGUUGUUGGCGGGGUAACGGCCCACCAAGCCUUCGAUGGAUAGGGGUUCUGAGAGGAAGGUCCCCCACAUUGGAACUGAGACACGGUCCAAACUCCUACGGGAGGCAGCAGUGAGGAAUAUUGGUCAAUGGACGAGAGUCUGAACCAGCCAAGUAGCGUGAAGGAUGACUGCCCUAUGGGUUGUAAACUUCUUUUAUACGGGAAUAAAGUGAGGCACGUGUGCCUUUUUGUAUGUACCGUAUGAAUAAGGAUCGGCUAACUCCGUGCCAGCAGCCGCGGUAAUACGGAGGAUCCGAGCGUUAUCCGGAUUUAUUGGGUUUAAAGGGAGCGUAGGCGGACGCUUAAGUCAGUUGUGAAAGUUUGCGGCUCAACCGUAAAAUUGCAGUUGAUACUGGGUGUCUUGAGUACAGUAGAGGCAGGCGGAAUUCGUGGUGUAGCGGUGAAAUGCUUAGAUAUCACGAAGAACUCCGAUUGCGAAGGCAGCUUGCUGGACUGUAACUGACGCUGAUGUUCGAAAGUGUGGGUAUCAAACAGGAUUAGAUACCCUGGUAGUCCACACAGUAAACGAUGAAUACUCGCUGUUUGCGAUAUACAGUAAGCGGCCAAGCGAAAGCGUUAAGUAUUCCACCUGGGGAGUACGCCGGCAACGGUGAAACUCAAAGGAAUUGACGGGGGCCCGCACAAGCGGAGGAACAUGUGGUUUAAUUCGAUGAUACGCGAGGAACCUUACCCGGGCUUGAAUUGCAACUGAAUGAUGUGGAGACAUGUCAGCCGCAAGGCAGUUGUGAAGGUGCUGCAUGGUUGUCGUCAGCUCGUGCCGUGAGGUGUCGGCUUAAGUGCCAUAACGAGCGCAACCCUUAUCGAUAGUUACCAUCAGGUUAUGCUGGGGACUCUGUCGAGACUGCCGUCGUAAGAUGUGAGGAAGGUGGGGAUGACGUCAAAUCAGCACGGCCCUUACGUCCGGGGCUACACACGUGUUACAAUGGGGGGUACAGAAGGCAGCUACACGGCGACGUGAUGCUAAUCCCGAAAGCCUCUCUCAGUUCGGAUUGGAGUCUGCAACCCGACUCCAUGAAGCUGGAUUCGCUAGUAAUCGCGCAUCAGCCACGGCGCGGUGAAAUACGUUCCCGGGCCU
This 1358-nucleotide ribosomal RNA is filed under the name uncultured bacterium. RNAcentral describes it as "bacterial SSU rRNA". It matches the Rfam family "Bacterial small subunit ribosomal RNA", at positions 28 to 1381 of the family's 1533-position model. The record is from RNAcentral.